UACAGAGGAGCCAAGCGUUGUCCGGAUUGACUGGGCGUAAAGCGCACGCAGGCGGUCUGGCGCGUGGGGUGUGAAAUCUGGCCGCUUAACGGCCAGGCGCCAUCCCAUACGGCCGGACUGGAGCCUUGCAGAGGUCGGUGGAAUUGCCGGUGUAGUGGUGAAAUGCGUAGAGAUCAGCAGGAACACCCGUGGCGAAGGCGGCCCCCUGGGCCGUACCUGACGCUGAGGCGCGAAGGCUAGGGGAGCGAACGGG
RNAcentral lists this ribosomal RNA (253 nucleotides) under uncultured bacterium. Its description in RNAcentral is "partial 16S ribosomal RNA". It matches the Rfam family "Bacterial small subunit ribosomal RNA", at positions 524 to 776 of the family's 1533-position model. The record is from RNAcentral.